AACGAACGCUGGCGGCAGGCUUAACACAUGCAAGUCGAACGCAUCCUUCGGGGUGAGUGGCAGACGGGUGAGUAACGCGUGGGAACGUGCCCUUCAGUUCGGGAUAACCCAGGGAAACUUGGGCUAAUACCGGCUACGUGCGGGAGCAGAAAGAUUUAUCGCUGAAGGAUCGGCCCGCGUAUGAGUAGCCAGUUGGUGGGGUAAGGGCCCACCAAGGCGACGAUCAGUAGCUGGUCUGAGGGGAUGAUCAGCCACAUUGGGACUGAGACACGGCCCAAACUCCUACGGGAGGCAGCAGUGGGGAAUAUUGGACAAUGGGCGCAAGCCUGAUCCAGCCAUGCCGCGUGAGUGAUGAAGGCCUUAGGGUUGUAAAGCUCUUUCGUCCGGGACGAUAAUGACGGUACCGGAAGAAGAAGCCCCGGCUAACUUCGUGCCAGCAGCCGCCGUAA
This 449-nucleotide ribosomal RNA is filed under the name uncultured bacterium. Its description in RNAcentral is "partial 16S ribosomal RNA". It matches the Rfam family "Bacterial small subunit ribosomal RNA", at positions 29 to 523 of the family's 1533-position model. The record is from RNAcentral.